GGUCCGGUCCCACGCGAUGGCGUAGGUCCGAACCGGGUCAGGCCGGGAACGGAGCAGCCCUAAGGUCCUCACGCCAGGCGCGAGGUGCCCGGGCCCUU
This 98-nucleotide signal recognition particle RNA is filed under the name Planctomycetota bacterium. Its description in RNAcentral is "signal recognition particle sRNA small type". It matches the Rfam family "Bacterial small signal recognition particle RNA". From Rfam's summary of the family: The signal recognition particle (SRP) is a universally conserved ribonucleoprotein involved in the co-translational targeting of proteins to membranes. Archaeal SRP consists of a 7S RNA and homologues of the eukaryotic SRP19 and SRP54 proteins. In most bacteria, the SRP consists of a 4.5S RNA and the Ffh protein (a homologue of the eukaryotic SRP54 protein). Lineage: Bacteria; Pseudomonadati; Planctomycetota. The record is from RNAcentral.